This 77-nucleotide transfer RNA is filed under the name Aeromonas hydrophila. RNAcentral's name for it is "tRNA-Met". It matches the Rfam family "tRNA". From Rfam's summary of the family: Transfer RNA (tRNA) molecules are approximately 80 nucleotides in length. Their secondary structure includes four short double-helical elements and three loops (D, anti-codon, and T loops). RNAcentral also lists the same sequence under 1 other name. Lineage: Bacteria; Pseudomonadati; Pseudomonadota; Gammaproteobacteria; Aeromonadales; Aeromonadaceae. The record is from RNAcentral.
CGCGGGGUGGAGCAGCUCGGUAGCUCAUCGGGCUCAUAACCCGAAGGUCGUCGGUUCAAAUCCGGCCCCCGCAACCA